This 191-nucleotide ribosomal RNA is filed under the name uncultured Desulfarculaceae bacterium. RNAcentral describes it as "partial 16S ribosomal RNA". It matches the Rfam family "Bacterial small subunit ribosomal RNA", at positions 1195 to 1382 of the family's 1533-position model. Lineage: Bacteria; Pseudomonadati; Thermodesulfobacteriota; Desulfarculia; Desulfarculales; Desulfarculaceae. The record is from RNAcentral.
UCGGCCUUUAUAUCCAGGGCUACACACGUGCUACAAUGGGUCGUACAAAGGGUCGCCACUCCGCGAGGAGGAGCUAAUCCCAAAAAGCGGCUCUCAGUUCGGAUCGGAGUCUGCAACUCGACUCCCGGUGAAGUUGGAAUCGCUACGUAAUCGUGGAUCAGCAUGCCACGGUGAAUACGUUCCCGGGCCUU